GGUCUCGUAGCUCAGUUGGUUAGAGCAUUGGUCUUAUGAGCCGAAGGUCGCGGGUUCAAGCCCCGCCGAGACCA
RNAcentral lists this transfer RNA (74 nucleotides) under Manihot esculenta (cassava). RNAcentral describes it as "tRNA-Ile (TAT) (tRNA-Ile-TAT-4-1)". It matches the Rfam family "tRNA". From Rfam's summary of the family: Transfer RNA (tRNA) molecules are approximately 80 nucleotides in length. Their secondary structure includes four short double-helical elements and three loops (D, anti-codon, and T loops). Further hydrogen bonds mediate the characteristic L-shaped molecular structure. tRNAs have two regions of fundamental functional importance: the anti-codon, which is responsible for specific mRNA codon recognition, and the 3' end, to which the tRNAs corresponding amino acid is attached (by aminoacyl-tRNA synthetases). tRNAs cope with the degeneracy of the genetic code in two manners: having more than one tRNA (with a specific anti-codon) for a particular amino acid; and 'wobble' base-pairing, i.e. permitting non-standard base-pairing at the 3rd anti-codon position. Lineage: Eukaryota; Viridiplantae; Streptophyta; Magnoliopsida; Malpighiales; Euphorbiaceae. The record is from Rfam by way of RNAcentral.